ACCCGCUGAAUUUAAGCAUAUAAGUAAGUGGUGGAAAUUAAACCAAAUGGGAUUCCUUAAGUAAUUGCGAAUGAACAAGGACAUGCUUAGCUUGACAAUUGGAGCCUCUGGCUUCGACUUGUAUUUUUGAAAUGUAUUACCAACAGAGGUGCAGGUGUCAGCCUAUUGAAAGAAAGCGUCAAUGAGGGUGAGAAUCCUGUUUGUCAUGUGCAAUCCUCUGUGCACGGUGUAUGUUUGCUGAGUCACACUCCUUGGCAUUGGAAUGCAAAGUGGGUGGUAAGUUUCAUGUAAAGGUAAAUAUAGGAUUGAGACUGAUAGCACACAAGUACCAUGAGGGAAAUAUGAAAAGGACUUUGAAAAGAGAAUUAAAUGAGUUUGUAUUUGCUGAACAGAAAAUAAACAGAUUUGAUGUUGCUUGGUGAGAUUGUGGUGCUUGCUUGACAAUAGGUUUUGAUUGUGGGUGUGAUGAUUCUUGCUUUGCUUGCCAGUUUCUAUUUGUACAUUUGAUUACCCUUGCACAUGAAUGGUAAUUUUCCUGCGGGGUUUGGAUUGCAUGUGUUUGUGAUGAUUUGUGUUUUGAUACAUGUGUCUGGUGCUUUUGUAAUUGCUCAUUUCUUGAAGCUGGGCCUACCCUACUAGAGCUUACAAGCCCUGGCACACAAUUGCUGGCAAAAUGCUUCUGCUUGACCCGUCUUGAAACACGGACCAAGGAGUCUAACAGAUGUGCAAGCUUGAGGGUUGCAUACCUUUGUGCGCAAUGAAAGUGUUGGCUGGGAUAUUUGCACCAGCAGCCGACCAAUUAGCAGACAGAGGUUCGAGUUGGAGCAUAUCUAUUAGGACCCGAAAGAUGGUGAACUAUGCCUGAACAGAAUGAAUCAGAGAAACUCUGAUGGAGGUUCGUAUCGAUACUGACGUGCAAA
Molecule: ribosomal RNA, 920 nt
Filed under: Alexandrium affine
Lineage: Eukaryota; Dinophyceae; Gonyaulacales; Pyrocystaceae
Description: LSU rRNA
Rfam family: Eukaryotic large subunit ribosomal RNA
Source: RNAcentral